CAAAAUUCAAAAUAGAAGCCCCAAUAUAUAUUUCGUUUCAAUUAAUCUGUGGAAUUCGAAUCGUCAGUCUCUCUCUCUCUUUCUCUCUCUAAUGCCUCCUCCCCUCUCCAGAAUUCUCUCUCUCUCUCUCUCUCUAGAAUUCUCUCUCUGUUAUUUCUCUUCAUCUCUCAAGAAGUUUCUCUCUGAUCAAAUCGUCGUCUGGUUUCGUCCGCGUUCCACGAAGAAUUAUCGUCUGAGAGGAUUAGAUCUACAAAUUGGUUUUUUCACCUAUAGGCAAAUCAAAGCAGCCACUAACUAAUUUGAUGCUGCAAAUAAGAUUGGAGAAUGCUGCAGAUAAGAUUGGAGAAGGUGGUUUUGGAUACGUAUACAAGAAAACAAAGAGCAACAGAAUCCACAAGUACUAAAAGUCUAAAAGAAAUGGAGUUAAUAAAACUGGACUAAAGAUUUAUGCUGUGGUGCUUUGUGAUAUGCUCUGGUUUUCCAGAAAUCAAGCUGUACAUAAUGGAGUUAUUCCUGAUGCAUCCAAGCUUGCUGAAAAUAUCAAACGGAUCUCUUUGGAACAUUUUGCAGCCUGGUUUUCUAUCUCCACUCCAGUAAGAGAAUUUUGGUCUCCUCCCUCAGCAGGCAGUUUUAACUUUUAAGAUCAAUUUUGACUCAGCCAUCAGAGACCUCUUCUCUGUCCAAGCAGCUGUCUGCAGAAAUUCCAAAGGCAACAUUGUCAAGGCUUUCUCACAAGUUAGGCCUCCCUGUGAUCCCAUGUUUGGUGAAGCUCAAGCAGCCCUUCUGGCUGCUUCUUUAGCAGUUUCUUUAAAACUAGAGAAUUUCAUUUUAGAAGAAGACUCUUCUAUUGUAAUAUCUCUUCUUUAUAGAGUCCUACUAUAGUCUUAGAUUAGCAUAUUGAGCAUGUAAUUUCUUUCUAUUCUCCUGGUCUCCUUUCUGUGGGAGGUUCAGAAAGUUUACAAAAGUGCAAACUUCUGCAUCCAUCAUGUUGCAUAUAGGGUUGUGGCAAGAGUUAUUUCGGGCUGCAUUCCCUACAUAGUUUCCCCUCCUCUUCCUAUUCCUAUUUGUAGUGGCAAG
Molecule: long non-coding RNA, 1077 nt
Organism: Corylus avellana
Lineage: Eukaryota; Viridiplantae; Streptophyta; Magnoliopsida; Fagales; Betulaceae
Source: RefSeq, a predicted model, not a curated record